GACGAACGCUGGCGGCGUGCCUAACACAUGCAAGUCGAGCGGUAACAGGAGUAGUUUACUACUUGCUGACGAGCGGCGGACGGCUGAGUAACGCGUGGGAACGUGCCCCAAAGUGAGGAAUAACUGCCCGAAAGGGUAGCUAAUACCGCAUAUGAUCUUCGGAUUAAAGGAUUUAUCCGCUUUGGGAGCGGCCCGCGUCGGAUUAGGUAGUUGGUGAGGUAAUGGCUCACCAAGCCCACGAUCCGUAGCUGGUCUGAGAGGAUGAUCAGCCAGACUGGAACUGAGACACGGUCCAGACUCCUACGGGAGGCAGCAGUGAGGAAUCUUCCACAAUGGGCGAAAGCCUGAUGGAGCAACGCCGCGUGCAGGAUGAAGGCCUUCGGGUCGUAAACUGCUUUUAUAAGUGAAGAAUAUGACGGUAGCUUAUGAAUAAGCACCGGCUAACUACGUGCCAGCCGCCGCCGUAA
RNAcentral lists this ribosomal RNA (467 nucleotides) under uncultured bacterium. Its description in RNAcentral is "partial 16S ribosomal RNA". It matches the Rfam family "Bacterial small subunit ribosomal RNA", at positions 28 to 523 of the family's 1533-position model. The record is from RNAcentral.